CAACCCUCAAGCUUCUGCUUGGUGUUGGGCCUCGUCCUCACCGGACGUGCCCGAAACUCGUGGGCGGUGGCGGCCGAGCUCCCAGCGUAGUCAAAUCUACCCGCUUCGGAGACCGGACGACACCCGCCUGGUAAACCACACUUCCAUCACG
This 151-nucleotide unclassified non-coding RNA is filed under the name uncultured Pleosporales. Its description in RNAcentral is "sequence contains ITS2". The record is from RNAcentral. Lineage: Eukaryota; Fungi; Ascomycota; Dothideomycetes; Pleosporales.